CAUGCAGUCGAGCGGGGGAAGUUGCUUCGGUAACUGACCUAGCGGCGGACGGGUGAGUAAUACUUAGGAAUCUGCCUAUUAAUGGGGGACAACAUCUCGAAAGGGAUGCUAAUACCGCAUACGCCCUACGGGGGAAAGCAGGGGAUCACUUGUGACCUUGCGUUAAUAGAUGAGCCUAAGUCGGAUUAGCUAGUUGGUGGGGUAAAGGCCUACCAAGGCGACGAUCUGUAGCGGGUCUGAGAGGAUGAUCCGCCACACUGGGACUGAGACACGGCCCAGACUCCUACGGGAGGCAGCAGUGGGGAAUAUUGGACAAUGGGGGGAACCCUGAUCCAGCCAUGCCGCGUGUGUGAAGAAGGCCUUAUGGUUGUAAAGCACUUUAAGCGAGGAGGAGGCUCUUUUGGUUAAUACCCAAGAUGAGUGGACGUUACUCGCAGAAUAAGCACCGGCUAACUCUGUGCCAGCAGCCGCGGUAAUACAGAGGGUGCGAGCGUUAAUCGGAUUUACUGGGCGUAAAGCGUGCGUAGGCGGCUUUUUAAGUCGGAUGUGAAAUCCCCGAGCUUAACUUGGGAAUUGCAUUCGAUACUGGGAAGCUAGAGUAUGGGAGAGGAUGGUAGAAUUCCAGGUGUAGCGGUGAAAUGCGUAGAGAUCUGGAGGAAUACCGAUGGCGAAGGCAGCCAUCUGGCCUAAUACUGACGCUGAGGUACGAAAAGCAUGGGGAGCAAACAGGAUUAGAUACCCUGGGUUAGUCCA
RNAcentral lists this ribosomal RNA (753 nucleotides) under Acinetobacter sp. AIMST 11.Pl.7. Its description in RNAcentral is "bacterial SSU rRNA". It matches the Rfam family "Bacterial small subunit ribosomal RNA", at positions 54 to 797 of the family's 1533-position model. Lineage: Bacteria; Pseudomonadati; Pseudomonadota; Gammaproteobacteria; Moraxellales; Moraxellaceae. The record is from RNAcentral.